CUCUUUUCGUUUAUUUGAAAAGUAUAACCUGCCCACUGAUUUAAGAAUUAAAGGGCCGCGGUAAUUUGACCGUGCAAAGGUAGCAUAAUCAUUAGUCUCUUAAUUAGAGGCUGGAAUGAAUGGUUGGACGAGAUAUAAUCUGUCUUUUAUUUUAUUUUUGAACUUAAUUAUUAAGUGAGAAAGCUUAAAUAUAAUUAUGGGACGAGAAGACCCUAUAGAGUUUAAACAAUUAAAUUACUUGAUUUGUUUUAGAUUAUUUUUUUGUAGUUUAAUUUUUUUUGUUGGGGUGAUGGGAAGAUAAAUAAAACUCUUUUUAUUGAUUAAUAUUUAUUUAUAGAAUUUUGAUCUAUUAUUAGUGAUUAUAAGACUAAAUUACC
RNAcentral lists this ribosomal RNA (377 nucleotides) under Episymploce forficula. Its description in RNAcentral is "partial large subunit ribosomal RNA". The stretch from base 1 to 188 matches the Rfam family "Archaeal large subunit ribosomal RNA", at positions 1908 to 2143 of the family's 2987-position model. Lineage: Eukaryota; Metazoa; Arthropoda; Insecta; Blattodea; Blattellidae. The record is from RNAcentral.